GUGGCAGCCCUCUGUGCCGUUGGCCACUAAUCUCUUGUUUUUCUGUUAGGCUCCAUCCAGAGAGAACGGAUUGCAGAGGGCAAACUCGAGAGGUUCUGGACUCCUGGGACCUGAAUCUUAAUGUUUCUCCACCAUAGGCAGGUCGGGGAAAUACCCUUGUCUCCCGGGUUCCCUAUUUAGUUCCCUAAUAAGUCACUGGUGAUCAUUGUGUGUCCCUAAUAGCCCAAUUCAAGAGCUGGAGCUUCCAUCCUCUUCCCCUCAGUGGAGGAGGAGAAGAUGGAAAAGUCCUAGACAUACAAAAAGGGCGCCCGAGAGGUGAGUGAGUCUGACCACCCGUUCAUUCUGUAUGGUGCAAACUGAGCUCGAAAGCCUUGCUUGGUUGGCAGGUGUAUGAGUGAGGCCUGUGGAGCCAAAUAAAAGGCUCCUGCCCUAGAGAUCAGAGCUCGGGUAGAUCUUGGUGAGAAAGAGACCCCUCCCUUCUGGAACUCUGCAAGGCAGUAACCUGGGUAUCCUCCUGCUUUCUCACAGGUCUCUGCAAGUGCUCUCUUCCCUAUAUGGGGACAUCCACUGGCAGCCUGCCCAUUACUCCUGCGGUGGCUCCCUCUGCUGGACUGUUUCAGCAUUGCAUCCUGACCCAAGUUUGGUCUGAGCAUCUUCAGCUCGAGUAUGAAGCAGCAAUUGCUGUGAGGAUAGACCCUGCAGCAAGGCUCUGAGAACCCAACCCCCAUCCCGCAGCUGCUGGUCCCAAUAAUUUUGGGGAUUGACUGUCCACCCAGCUCCUUCCCCUCCUCUGCCCGGAUGGAUUGGGGGCAAGAGGCACCUUGAAGGACAGAAAUCCAAGCGGUGGCUGGUGCCCUGCAUGCUGUUAAAUAACCAGGCCCGCCUGCCUCCCCUAGGAUACAUGAUGGACAAUUGAAGCCAGAGAAGAGCAGGAGGCUCGGACCGCCCACCCUGCUGUGAGUCACGGCUGAGGGGUAUUGCUGUGCUGGGAGGAGGGGUGGAGGGAAAUCGGGGCAGGGUUCUAGGGGCAGGGGGCAGCAGCCACAUCGCACGGUGGCUGGGAGCCAGAACCCAGUUGGAGUGACCUGCAGAGCGUAGGAGCAGGGAGAAAACCCUUGG
Molecule: long non-coding RNA, 1119 nt
Filed under: Chrysemys picta bellii (western painted turtle)
Lineage: Eukaryota; Metazoa; Chordata; Testudines; Emydidae
Description: lncRNA (ENSCPBG00000022156.1)
Source: RNAcentral